Molecule: transfer RNA, 62 nt
Filed under: Abiotrophia defectiva
Lineage: Bacteria; Bacillati; Bacillota; Bacilli; Lactobacillales; Aerococcaceae
Also listed under: 1 other name
Rfam family: tRNA
About the family: Transfer RNA (tRNA) molecules are approximately 80 nucleotides in length.
Source: RNAcentral
AUUAGCUCAGUUGGUAGAGCAUCUGACUUUUAAUCAGAGGGUCACAGGUUCGAGCCCUGUAU